Molecule: ribosomal RNA, 465 nt
Filed under: Vreelandella stevensii
Lineage: Bacteria; Pseudomonadati; Pseudomonadota; Gammaproteobacteria; Oceanospirillales; Halomonadaceae
Description: partial 16S ribosomal RNA
Rfam family: Bacterial small subunit ribosomal RNA
Source: RNAcentral
CCUACGGGCGGCUGCAGUGGGGAAUAUUGGACAAUGGGGGCAACCCUGAUCCAGCCAUGCCGCGUGUGUGAAGAAGGCCCUCGGGUUGUAAAGCACUUUCAGUGAGGAAGAACGCCUGGUGGUUAAUACCCAUCAGGAAAGACAUCACUCACAGAAGAAGCACCGGCUAACUCCGUGCCAGCAGCCGCGGUAAUACGGAGGGUGCGAGCGUUAAUCGGAAUUACUGGGCGUAAAGCGCGCGUAGGUGGCUUGAUAAGCCGGUUGUGAAAGCCCCGGGCUCAACCUGGGAACGGCAUCCGGAACUGUCAAGCUAGAGUGCAGGAGAGGAAGGUAGAAUUCCCGGUGUAGCGGUGAAAUGCGUAGAGAUCGGGAGGAAUACCAGUGGCGAAGGCGGCCUUCUGGACUGAUACUGACACUGAGGUGCGAAAGCGUGGGUAGCAAACAGGAUUAGAUACCCUUGUAGUC